This is a long non-coding RNA of Oreochromis aureus, 2121 nucleotides long. The record is from Ensembl. Lineage: Eukaryota; Metazoa; Chordata; Actinopteri; Cichliformes; Cichlidae.
GGGUAGCAGACAUGUUGCUAUCGCCAAAAGUGCCUCCUGAGUCAUAACACCAUGUGAACCCUAGUUACGGUAGGCAUCUUCGUAAAUAACGCUGAUCAAUAGAUAUGCUUCAUCACCUCUAUGUGGGCUUCCUUGUGUUAUUGCUCUACAUUAGCUAAACAACACCUUUGGGAUAAAUUAGAGCCUGCCUGUGAGCUAGGCGAUCUUGUCCAACAUCAGUGCUUGACUUCACAAAUGUGCUUCUGGAAAAAUGGUCAAAAAUUUCCAUAAACACACUCCUAAACCUUGUGGAAUGCCUUCCCAGAAGACCUGAGGCUGUUAUAGCUGCAAAAGGUGGGCUGACAUAAACACUAUAGAUAAAUAAUGGGAUGUCACUCGAGUUCAUAUGCGUGUGUUGGCACAUGUGCAAAUACUUUUGGCAUAUUAUUGUCUCAUCUGACACUGGAUCAUUGUCUUUGACAACUGCUGAUGGCUUAACCUUCUUAACCUGUUAGUUGUGCUCUGGUCACCUGCCUUUUUAAAGAAAUGUAACCCCUGACAUUCUUUGGUUUGCUUUUUCUCCUCUUUCUUUAUUUUCUUUCCGAUUUAGCUCUUUUCAGGAAAGACAUGAUGUGGAGGGGUUUGUAUUAGUGGUCACAUGGAUAUACCAAAUUAGCUGUGCUGUAAAGCCGAGUCCAAAUGCGUCAUUUAUAAGACUUGAAAUCAGGGCUGCAACUAAAUAUUAUUUUGGCAAUCAACUAAACUGCCAAUUUUUCUUUGAUUAGUCAAUUAGUCAAGUAUUAUUUCAAUAAUUCUUAUCUCCGCUUCCUGUGGGCAAACCUCCUGUUCUAGGCUCCAGUCUGCCCACCUGUUAAUAAUCUCACUGUUGUCUCGUCUCACAGAAAAUUAAAAUUAUGAUCCAGGAAACAUAGCAAUUUGAAAAUAAUCAAAUGUAUUUUUAACAUUACUCAAUAAGACUGUCAGAAUAAAAUGAAAUAAAUAAAAAUGUUAGAUUGUACAAAUUAAAGUUCUAGUAUUAUUUAAACAAAAAAAAUAGUGCAAACGGGAAAUCAAAAAUGGCUUCUGUCCAUAAGUUCAAAUAAAAGCUUCAAAUUAAAUCAAAAAGAUUUUUUUUCUAAUCCAGUGUAACAAGUUUCUGAAUUAUUGAUAUUGUUCGACCCACAGAUCAACUACCUAACGUUAGGUAGAAGAGUUUACUAUUCAGAAGAAAUGCUAUAUAUAUUAAUGUUAGGGGAAAACAAACAAACUAGGAGACAGUAUAGCAACCCCUUUUUGAUGGUUUAAUAUCGCAUUUCACUCAUUAGCUAACAAAACUGUAAUGAUGUUCAGUUAUCAAGCAUCAUCCUGGGAUAUUUCUAACAGGAUAGCUAACAUAAACAUUACUGUACAAAGAGUAACAGCGUUUAUAUGUCUGUGUAGGUUCAUGGUAAUCUAAGGAGCUUGGAAAGAAAAGCGACCAGACUUCUUUAAGUGUCUUGAAGACGUUUUACUUCUUAUUCGAGAAGCUUCUUCAGCAUUUUAAACGCUCGUACACUGAAUUAUUGCUGUUUUGGAACAAAAGCACAGCUUUGCACAGACUGCAUUUAACUUUAUUUGUUUUUGUAUAUUUUUAAAUCUCCGUUUCCAUUUUGUUCUGUCCUCCUGCUUUGCCGUUCACACUACAUUCUUAGUUUUGGCAGACGAUAUAGGCGAUACUGCCUCCAAAACAAACUUUUGGUUCCAGUCGUGCAAGGGCCUCUCUCACCUUUAGGGCCCGGGUGGUCAGUCCCACUUUUAUCCUCACUAAGUAGGUGGCCCCCAUAUUCAUCAGUUUCUGCUUACAAUAGCCUGUUUGAAAUACUCAUUCAAACAAGUUUAUGUUUGGUUGAGUGGUUUGUUAGACCCUGUGAAAAAACAUGUUGUGGUUAGACCCUAUGGAAAAGUGUCUCAGAUAUACAAAUACAAAUUCAAAUUUUAUUUGUCACAUACACAAUUUUACAUAAUACGACAUGCAGUGAAAUGCUUGUUGCUGUGCAAUGCCGAACCAUAAAAAAAGCUAAACGGAGACAUAAAAGUAAACAUAAAACUAAACUAGCAAGUAAUUUAGAUAAUAUACAAAUGUAAAAUUUAAAACUUAACUGU